GGAGAGAUGGCAGAGUGGUCGAAUGCGGCGGUCUUGAAAACCGUUGGCCCUUCGGGGCCCGGGGGUUCGAAUCCCUCUCUCUCCGCCA
RNAcentral lists this transfer RNA (88 nucleotides) under Armatimonadota bacterium. Its description in RNAcentral is "Armatimonadetes bacterium (sediment metagenome) tRNA-Ser". It matches the Rfam family "tRNA". From Rfam's summary of the family: Transfer RNA (tRNA) molecules are approximately 80 nucleotides in length. The record is from RNAcentral. Lineage: Bacteria; Bacillati; Armatimonadota.